GGUCCUGUGGUGUAAUGGUUACACAUCCUCUGUCUGUGCAUGUGUGCAGGUACAGUUUAUGAGGCAGUUCCCUGUUCGAAUCAGGGUGGGGCCA
Non-coding RNA from Mycena rosella, 94 nucleotides. Lineage: Eukaryota; Fungi; Basidiomycota; Agaricomycetes; Agaricales; Mycenaceae. The record is from the annotation of a GenBank genome assembly.